CCUACGGGAGGCAGCAGUGGGGAAUAUUGGACAAUGGGCGAAAGCCUGAACCAGCGACGCCGCGUGAAGGAAGAAGGACUUCGGGAUGGAAAACUCUAUCAGCAGGGAAGAAAAUGAGGGUACCUGUGUAAGAAGUGCCGGCUAACUACGAGCCAGCAGCCGCGGUAAUACGGAGGGGGCAAGCGUUAUGCGGAUUUACUGGGGGUAAAGGGGGCGUAGACGGGAGUGCAAGUCGGGAGGGAAAGGUAGGGGCUUAACCCCCGGACUGCGCUGGAAACUGUUGGUCUGGAGUGGAGGAGAGGUAUGUGGAAUUCCUGGUGUAGCGGUGAAAUGCGUAGAUAUUAGGAGGAACACCAGUGGCGAAGGCGGCUUACUGGACUGUAACUGACGUUGAGGCUCGAAAGCGUGGGGAGCAAACAGGAUUAGAUACCCCAGUAGUC
RNAcentral lists this ribosomal RNA (440 nucleotides) under uncultured bacterium. RNAcentral's name for it is "partial 16S ribosomal RNA". It matches the Rfam family "Bacterial small subunit ribosomal RNA", at positions 338 to 795 of the family's 1533-position model. The record is from RNAcentral.